GGGGGCGACCUGGUUUCGACGUGGAUUACAAAGCCAUCGGAGCAUGUCGAGGUGCAGAUCUCCUCGUAAAUCCAACUGCAAACUAUUAGUUGCCAACGACGACAACUACGCCCUGGCGGCUUAAGCCCUGCCAGUCUCUCCCCCGGCUCGCCCAUGGGCUGGGAUAAGAGGGAUCAAAUCACAUGGGCUCGCGUGAUGGGGUGCCCGUGA
This 210-nucleotide transfer-messenger RNA is filed under the name Arenicellales bacterium. RNAcentral describes it as "partial transfer-messenger RNA". It matches the Rfam family "transfer-messenger RNA", at positions 1 to 225 of the family's 374-position model. Rfam says of the family: Bacterial tmRNA, also known as 10Sa RNA or SsrA, is named for its dual tRNA and mRNA-like properties. Its role is to liberate the mRNA from a stalled ribosome. To accomplish this part of the tmRNA is used as a reading frame that ends in a translation stop signal. Lineage: Bacteria; Pseudomonadati; Pseudomonadota; Gammaproteobacteria; Arenicellales. The record is from RNAcentral.